GACGAACGCUGGCGGCGUGCUUAACACAUGCAAGUCGAACGGAAAGGCCUGCUUUCCCUUGUGGAUUGCGGGUGCUCGAGUGGCGAACGGGUGAGUAACACGUGAGUGAUCUGCCCCCAACUUGGGUAUAAGCCUGGGAAACUGGGUCUAAUUCCCGAUAGGACUGCAGGGUGGUGCCUGUGGUGGAAAACGAUUUUCUAGUGGUUGGGGAUGAGCUCGCGGCCUAUCAGCUUGUUGGUGGGGUAAUGGCCUACCAAGGCGGCGACGGGUAGCCGGCCUGAGAGGGUGGACGGCCACAUUGGGACUGAGAUACGGCCCAGACUCCUACGGGAGGCAGCAGUGGGGAAUAGUGCACAAUGGGCGGAAGCCUGAUGCAGCGACGCCGCGUGGGGGAUGACGGCCUUCGGGUUGUAAACUCCUUUCGACCGCGAGGAAGCCACCUGGUUGGAAGGGUGGUGACGGUAGUGGUAGAAGAAGCACCGGCUAACUACGUG
RNAcentral lists this ribosomal RNA (494 nucleotides) under uncultured bacterium. Its description in RNAcentral is "partial 16S ribosomal RNA". It matches the Rfam family "Bacterial small subunit ribosomal RNA", at positions 28 to 507 of the family's 1533-position model. The record is from RNAcentral.